This 468-nucleotide ribosomal RNA is filed under the name uncultured bacterium. RNAcentral's name for it is "partial 16S ribosomal RNA". It matches the Rfam family "Bacterial small subunit ribosomal RNA", at positions 28 to 507 of the family's 1533-position model. The record is from RNAcentral.
GACGAACGCUGGCGGCGUGCUUAACACAUGCAAGUCGAACGGAAAGGCCCUGCUUUUGUGGGGUGCUCGAGUGGCGAACGGGUGAGUAACACGUGAGUAACCUGCCCUUGACUUUGGGAUAACUUCAGGAAACUGGGGCUAAUACCGGAUAGGAGCUCCUGCUGCAUGGUGGGGGUUGGAAAGUUUCGGCGGUUGGGGAUGGACUCGCGGCUUAUCAGCUUGUUGGUGGGGUAGUGGCUUACCAAGGCUUUGACGGGUAGCCGGCCUGGGAGGGUGACCGGCCACAUUGGGACUGAGAUACGGCCCAGACUCCUACGGGAGGCAACGGUGGGGAAUAUUGCACAAUGGGCGGGAGCCUGAUGCAGCGACGCCGCGUGCGGGAUGACGGCCUUCGGGUUGUAAACCGCUUUCGCCUGUGACGAAGCGUGAGUGACGGUAAUGGGUAAAGAAGCACCGGCUAACUACGUG